GAUGAACGCUGGCGGCGUGCCUAAUACAUGCAAGUCGAACGCAUAGCGAAAGGUGCUUGCACCUUUCAAGUGAGUGGCGAACGGGUGAGUAACACGUGGACAACCUGCCUCAAGGCUGGGGAUAACAUUUGGAAACAGAUGCUAAUACCGAAUAAAACUUAGUGUCGCAUGACACAAAGUUAAAAGGCGCUUCGGCGUCACCUAGAGAUGGAUCCGCGGUGCAUUAGUUAGUUGGUGGGGUAAAGGCCUACCAAGACAAUGAUGCAUAGCCGAGUUGAGAGACUGAUCGGCCACAUUGGGACUGAGAAACGGCCCAAACUCCUACGGGAGGCUGCAGUAGGGAAUCUUCCACAAUGGGCGAAAGCCUGAUGGAGCAACGCCGCGUGUGUGAUGAAGGCUUUCGGGUCGUAAAGCACUGUUGUAUGGGAAGAACAGCUAGAAUAGGAAAUGAUUUUAGUUUGACGGUACCAUACCAGAAAGGGACGGCUAAAUACGUG
This 497-nucleotide ribosomal RNA is filed under the name uncultured bacterium. RNAcentral describes it as "partial 16S ribosomal RNA". It matches the Rfam family "Bacterial small subunit ribosomal RNA", at positions 28 to 507 of the family's 1533-position model. The record is from RNAcentral.